RNAcentral lists this small nucleolar RNA (72 nucleotides) under Vicugna pacos (alpaca). RNAcentral describes it as "Small nucleolar RNA SNORD112 (ENSVPAG00000017837.1)". The record is from RNAcentral. Lineage: Eukaryota; Metazoa; Chordata; Mammalia; Artiodactyla; Camelidae.
UGAAGCAAUGAUGAAAAUAUCUCAUGAACUAAAGAUUAUGAUUAGUCCAAAUCUGUGCACCUGAGCUCCAAA